UCAAUCUUCUCAUGUAGCCCUUGGUAGGU
This 29-nucleotide small RNA is filed under the name Bombyx mori (domestic silkworm). Its description in RNAcentral is "ovarian small RNA-24851". Lineage: Eukaryota; Metazoa; Arthropoda; Insecta; Lepidoptera; Bombycidae. The record is from RNAcentral.